CAGUAACGGCGAGUGAAGCGGCAACAGCUCAAAUUUGAAAUCUGGCCCCUCGGGCCCGAGUUGUAAUUUGCAGAGGAUGCUUUUGGCGAGGCGCCGCCCGAGUUCCCUGGAACGGGACGCCGCAGAGGGUGAGAGCCCCGUCUGGCUGGCCGCCGAGCCUCUGUAAAGCUCCUUCGACGAGUCGAGUAGUUUGGGAAUGCUGCUCAAAACGGGAGGUAUAUGUCUUCUAAAGCUAAAUAUUGGCCAGAGACCGAUAGCGCACAAGUAGAGUGAUCGAAAGAUGAAAAGCACCUUGAAAAGGGGGUUAAACAGUACGUGAAAUUGCUGAAAGGGAAGCGCUUGCGACCAGACUUGGGCCCCUCGGAUCACCCGGCGUUCUCGCCGGUGCACUCCGCGUGGGGCACAGGCCAGCAUCGGUUCGCGCCGGGGGACAAAGGCGGCGGGAACGUGGCUCCCCAGGGAGUGUUAUAGCCCGCCGCGCAAUGCCCUGGCGCGGACCGAGGACCGCGCGCUCACGCGCAAGGAUGCUGGCGUAAUGGUCGCCAGCGACCCGUCUUGAAACACGGACCAAGGAGUCGUCCUCGUAUGCGAGUGUUCGGGUGUCAAACCCCUACGCGUAAUGAAAGUGAACGCAGGUGAGAGCUUCGGCGCAUCAUCGACCGAUCCUGAUGUUCUCGGAUGGAUUUGAGUAAGAGCAUACGGGGCCGGACCCGAAAGAAGGUGAACUAUGCCUGUGUAGGGUGAAGCCAGAGGAAACUCUGGUGGAGGCUCGCAGCGGUUCUGACGUGCAAAUCGAUCGUCAAACAUGGGCAU
Molecule: ribosomal RNA, 813 nt
Filed under: Luteomyces trichodermoides
Lineage: Eukaryota; Fungi; Ascomycota; Sordariomycetes; Hypocreales; Hypocreaceae
Description: LSU rRNA
Rfam family: Eukaryotic large subunit ribosomal RNA
Source: RNAcentral